UCUGGUAGCAAUGGCAAAGAGGCCACACCGAAAUUCGGGGGACACGAAUUCCCCGAAUUCCAUCUUGAACACGGAAGUUAAGCUCUUUAACGUCGAUGGUACUGCAUGGGAGACUGUGUGGGAGAGUAGAACGCUGCCAGAU
Molecule: ribosomal RNA, 142 nt
Filed under: Desulfobacula sp.
Lineage: Bacteria; Pseudomonadati; Thermodesulfobacteriota; Desulfobacteria; Desulfobacterales; Desulfobacteraceae
Source: RNAcentral